Molecule: transfer RNA, 85 nt
Filed under: Rhizobium ruizarguesonis
Lineage: Bacteria; Pseudomonadati; Pseudomonadota; Alphaproteobacteria; Hyphomicrobiales; Rhizobiaceae
Description: tRNA-Ser
Rfam family: tRNA
About the family: Transfer RNA (tRNA) molecules are approximately 80 nucleotides in length. Their secondary structure includes four short double-helical elements and three loops (D, anti-codon, and T loops).
Source: RNAcentral
GAAGAGGUGGCAGAGUGGUCGAAUGCACCGCACUCGAAAUGCAGCAUACCUGCAAGGGUAUCGUGGGUUCCCACCCUCUCCGCCA